GAUGAACGCUGGCGGCGUGCCUAAUACAUGCAAGUCGAGCGAACGGACGAGAAGCUUGCUUCUCUGAUGUUAGCGGCGGACGGGUGAGUAACACGUGGAUAACCUACCUAUAAGACUGGGAUAACUUCGGGAAACCGUAGCUAAUACCGGAUAAUAUUUUGAACCGCAUGGUUCAAAAGUGAAAGACGGUCUUGCUGUCACUUAUAGAUGGAUCCGCGCUUCAUUAGCUAGUUGGUAAGGUAACGGCUUACCAAGGCAACGAUGCAUAGCCGACCUGAGCGGGUGGUCGGCCACCGGUGAACUUAGACACGGUCCAGACUCCUAAGGAAGGCAGCAGUAGGGAAUCGUCCGCAAUGGGCGAAAGCCUGACGGAGCAUCGCCGCGUGAGUGAUGAAGGUCUUCGGAUCGUAAAACGCUGUUAUUAGGGAAGAACAUAUGUGUAAGUAACUGUGCACAUCGUGACGGUACCUAAUCAGAAAGCCACGGCUAACUACGUG
RNAcentral lists this ribosomal RNA (497 nucleotides) under uncultured bacterium. RNAcentral's name for it is "partial 16S ribosomal RNA". It matches the Rfam family "Bacterial small subunit ribosomal RNA", at positions 28 to 507 of the family's 1533-position model. The record is from RNAcentral.